RNAcentral lists this ribosomal RNA (78 nucleotides) under Hygrohypnum norvegicum. RNAcentral's name for it is "partial 5.8S ribosomal RNA". It matches the Rfam family "5.8S ribosomal RNA", at positions 78 to 154 of the family's 154-position model. Rfam says of the family: 5.8S ribosomal RNA (5.8S rRNA) is a component of the large subunit of the eukaryotic ribosome. The record is from RNAcentral. Lineage: Eukaryota; Viridiplantae; Streptophyta; Bryopsida; Hypnales; Amblystegiaceae.
AAUUCCGUGAAUCAUCGAGUCUUUGAACGCAAGUUGCGCCCGAGGCUUGUCCAAGGGCAUUUCCGCUAGAGCGUCACC